GGAGGCGUGGCAGAGUGGUUUAAUGCGUUGCUUUCGAAAAGCAAUGUCUCGCAAGGGACCGAGGGUUCGAAUCCUUCCGCCUCCGCCA
RNAcentral lists this transfer RNA (88 nucleotides) under bacterium. Its description in RNAcentral is "tRNA-Ser". It matches the Rfam family "tRNA". From Rfam's summary of the family: Transfer RNA (tRNA) molecules are approximately 80 nucleotides in length. The record is from RNAcentral.